This 2487-nucleotide ribosomal RNA is filed under the name Escherichia coli. Its description in RNAcentral is "partial 23S ribosomal RNA". It matches the Rfam family "Bacterial large subunit ribosomal RNA", at positions 323 to 2798 of the family's 2925-position model. The record is from RNAcentral. Lineage: Bacteria; Pseudomonadati; Pseudomonadota; Gammaproteobacteria; Enterobacterales; Enterobacteriaceae.
UGUGUGUUAGUGGAAGCGUCUGGAAAGGCGCGCGAUACAGGGUGACAGCCCCGUACACAAAAAUGCACAUGCUGUGAGCUCGAUGAGUAGGGCGGGACACGUGGUAUCCUGUCUGAAUAUGGGGGGACCAUCCUCCAAGGCUAAAUACUCCUGACUGACCGAUAGUGAACCAGUACCGUGAGGGAAAGGCGAAAAGAACCCCGGCGAGGGGAGUGAAAAAGAACCUGAAACCGUGUACGUACAAGCAGUGGGAGCACGCUUAGGCGUGUGACUGCGUACCUUUUGUAUAAUGGGUCAGCGACUUAUAUUCUGUAGCAAGGUUAACCGAAUAGGGGAGCCGAAGGGAAACCGAGUCUUAACUGGGCGUUAAGUUGCAGGGUAUAGACCCGAAACCCGGUGAUCUAGCCAUGGGCAGGUUGAAGGUUGGGUAACACUAACUGGAGGACCGAACCGACUAAUGUUGAAAAAUUAGCGGAUGACUUGUGGCUGGGGGUGAAAGGCCAAUCAAACCGGGAGAUAGCUGGUUCUCCCCGAAAGCUAUUUAGGUAGCGCCUCGUGAAUUCAUCUCCGGGGGUAGAGCACUGUUUCGGCAAGGGGGUCAUCCCGACUUACCAACCCGAUGCAAACUGCGAAUACCGGAGAAUGUUAUCACGGGAGACACACGGCGGGUGCUAACGUCCGUCGUGAAGAGGGAAACAACCCAGACCGCCAGCUAAGGUCCCAAAGUCAUGGUUAAGUGGGAAACGAUGUGGGAAGGCCCAGACAGCCAGGAUGUUGGCUUAGAAGCAGCCAUCAUUUAAAGAAAGCGUAAUAGCUCACUGGUCGAGUCGGCCUGCGCGGAAGAUGUAACGGGGCUAAACCAUGCACCGAAGCUGCGGCAGCGACGCUGAUGCGUUGUUGGGUAGGGGAGCGUUCUGUAAGCCUGCGAAGGUGUGCUGUGAGGCAUGCUGGAGGUAUCAGAAGUGCGAAUGCUGACAUAAGUAACGAUAAAGCGGGUGAAAAGCCCGCUCGCCGGAAGACCAAGGGUUCCUGUCCAACGUUAAUCGGGGCAGGGUGAGUCGACCCCUAAGGCGAGGCCGAAAGGCGUAGUCGAUGGGAAACAGGUUAAUAUUCCUGUACUUGGUGUUACUGCGAAGGGGGGACGGAGAAGGCUAUGUUGGCCGGGCGACGGUUGUCCCGGUUUAAGCGUGUAGGCUGGUUUUCCAGGCAAAUCCGGAAAAUCAAGGCUGAGGCGUGAUGACGAGGCACUACGGUGCUGAAGCAACAAAUGCCCUGCUUCCAGGAAAAGCCUCUAAGCAUCAGGUAACAUCAAAUCGUACCCCAAACCGACACAGGUGGUCAGGUAGAGAAUACCAAGGCGCUUGAGAGAACUCGGGUGAAGGAACUAGGCAAAAUGGUGCCGUAACUUCGGGAGAAGGCACGCUGAUAUGUAGGUGAAGUCCCUUGCGGAUGGAGCUGAAAUCAGUCGAAGAUACCAGCUGGCUGCAACUGUUUAUUAAAAACACAGCACUGUGCAAACACGAAAGUGGACGUAUACGGUGUGACGCCUGCCCGGUGCCGGAAGGUUAAUUGAUGGGGUCAGCGCAAGCGAAGCUCUUGAUCGAAGCCCCGGUAAACGGCGGCCGUAACUAUAACGGUCCUAAGGUAGCGAAAUUCCUUGUCGGGUAAGUUCCGACCUGCACGAAUGGCGUAAUGAUGGCCAGGCUGUCUCCACCCGAGACUCAGUGAAAUUGAACUCGCUGUGAAGAUGCAGUGUACCCGCGGCAAGACGGAAAGACCCCGUGAACCUUUACUAUAGCUUGACACUGAACAUUGAGCCUUGAUGUGUAGGAUAGGUGGGAGGCUUAGAAGUGUGGACGCCAGUCUGCAUGGAGCCGACCUUGAAAUACCACCCUUUAAUGUUUGAUGUUCUAACGUUGACCCGUAAUCCGGGUUGCGGACAGUGUCUGGUGGGUAGUUUGACUGGGGCGGUCUCCUCCUAAAGAGUAACGGAGGAGCACGAAGGUUGGCUAAUCCUGGUCGGACAUCAGGAGGUUAGUGCAAUGGCAUAAGCCAGCUUGACUGCGAGCGUGACGGCGCGAGCAGGUGCGAAAGCAGGUCAUAGUGAUCCGGUGGUUCUGAAUGGAAGGGCCAUCGCUCAACGGAUAAAAGGUACUCCGGGGAUAACAGGCUGAUACCGCCCAAGAGUUCAUAUCGACGGCGGUGUUUGGCACCUCGAUGUCGGCUCAUCACAUCCUGGGGCUGAAGUAGGUCCCAAGGGUAUGGCUGUUCGCCAUUUAAAGUGGUACGCGAGCUGGGUUUAGAACGUCGUGAGACAGUUCGGUCCCUAUCUGCCGUGGGCGCUGGAGAACUGAGGGGGGCUGCUCCUAGUACGAGAGGACCGGAGUGGACGCAUCACUGGUGUUCGGGUUGUCAUGCCAAUGGCACUGCCCGGUAGCUAAAUGCGGAAGAGAUAAGUGCUGAAAGCAUCUAAGCACGAAACUUGCC